UACGUAGGGUGCAAGCGUUGAUCGGAAUUACUGGGCGUAAAGCGUGCGCAGGCGGUUUUGUAAGCCGGAUGUGAAAUCCCCGGGCUUAACCUGGGAAUGGCAUUCGGGACUGCAAGGCUGGAGUGCGGCAGAGGAGACUGGAAUUCCUGGUGUAGCAGUGAAAUGCGUAGAUAUCAGGAGGAACACCGAUGGCGAAGGCAGGUCUCUGGGCUGACACUGACGCUCAUGCACGAAAGCGUGGGGAGCAAACAGG
Molecule: ribosomal RNA, 253 nt
Filed under: uncultured bacterium
Lineage: Bacteria
Description: partial 16S ribosomal RNA
Rfam family: Bacterial small subunit ribosomal RNA
Source: RNAcentral